GGCGUUUCACACAAAGACGCUGUUGGCUGAGGCAGCCCUUUACUCAUAGGGAUUUUGCCCUGAGGGUUUUCACCCAUCCUGCCCGGUGGGCACCUGCCCCUCACUGCCUGGACCCGGGCCCCGGCUGCCCCUGGUCGCUGGCUUCAUUUUCUCUUUGUGAGCAGCAGCUGGAGACGUCCACACUUCCGUCUGCAGAACCGGCUGGAGCUGAGGCGAAGGGGGCCUUCCCUGUGGCCUGGUGGUUUCCUCUCCGAGGGCCAAACCUAAGGUGAAGGGAAAAAUCUAUUCUGCAGAAGACCCACGAAUUCUCCAGAUCAGAGAAGCUUUCACAGAACAGGAAAAAUGCAUGAAGCUGAGACACCAACCACCUACUGAACUGAGGACUCCACAGUCAGUACCCUGAGAGCCCAGGAAGACCUACUAGUCUGUGGAGCUGCUAAUCGUUUGAUCUGCAGAUGGACCUGGUCAAAUACUGAAGCUGUGUUUUGUCCCUAGUCUUGAAAUUGACCUGAGAGAUGAUGGAAUCCCUUGCACAGACUUGAGGUUUCUGCCCUCAUGACUAACAAGGCUGGAACUGCUUCUCCCAGAACAACUUCACCACUUUGCCAGAUGAGACCUGCUGCUCGAGUGAGCCUGGGAGGGUGCCAGGUGUACACGGCAGCCCGGGCUCCGUCCAACCUCAUCCUGGGCGUAUUUAUGCUGUACAUCGAAUGGGGAAUGCAGCCCACCUUUGCUGUUCCAGCCUCCAAAAACAGGUCCAGAAGCUUCCUGCCUGGGGUCUAGAGGGGCUUUAAAUGCCUAUGUCAGGGAAUGUCUUAAAAACACCCCUGGAAAACGCUGCCUCUUCUCCACCUCUGAGAUUCCCUAAUUAUAUAAUUGUUCACCUUAUAAGCCAGAAAAAUAGAGAACGCAUGGUGGGCUCAUGGCAGAGUCGUGCAGAACUCAGCAGUGGCGCCAGCCUCACGUUCUGCCCUGCUGUCCUCCCGGGGACGGGCGAGCUGCAGCGGAGGUGGCCAUCUGGUCCCUGUGUGUGACAGACAAGGAGGAGCACCGCAAAGAUUGGCUGCUUUCUGAGCCACAGAGGGGAGCGCUUGGAGUCUCCGCUGCUGACUGGAGCCUUAAGAACGGGGCUUAGAUCGAAGUGAAGGGGCUGACGGUUUCAGUACAUGACUGACUUGUCAAGCCUGAGACUGCUCCCUGCUUUCCUUGGGCCAGGCACCAGACUUAGGGAACAAACAGCCAGGUUUAUUACAAAUCAUCACUUCAAAUCAGGGACAUUGAAGCUCUAGCACCUCCCAGAAGUGCCGCACCGGAAACCAGGCCUGUAACCAUAUGUGGCCCCAGGGACACUUAGGAUCCAAACUACAGCAUCGAUGCCUGCACCAAAGACAGAUUAACAAGAGAAAACCAAGCACAUUUGUCAAUGCUUUGAGAGAACAUCGGGCAAGAGGAGUCACUCAAAGUGGUGGCCUAGGAGCCUGCCGUAAAUGGUUUCUCAGUAAAGUUCCUUUUAGAGAAGUGACAGAGGAUAGAAAAUUGUCCUCGGUUUCAGAGGUGGGAAACUGGGGAGGUAAAUUUGUGGGAAAACAUUCUGCUCGCAGAGCCUUCCACAGCCUCAGAGACAUGAGAAGUAGGCACCGUAGAGAAUUUUUGUCUGUUCUUUAGGUAGAAAAGGAAGAGGGCAGGAGGUAGGAAGACCUGUGUGCCUUUCUGAAUCUUUAUCCUGCUUUUUGGCAGAGAGAAGUCAGAGUUUCCUUGCAUUUUGAUUGUUGUCAGCUCAAAAAUCCUUUAUAUUUUGGAGAUAAGGAGCUUGGCUUCCCUCACGAACUUAUAAAACCUUAGUAUUGUUCAACUCAAACCAUUCCUAACUAGAUCAUACUUUCUAACAGCUACUUCAGACUUGGACCUGGUAGCAGUAGACAAGAAAGUACAUUCUGUGCAAACCUGGGCCUACGAACACAUGAAUUAUUUCCACAUAGCAUACUGG
RNAcentral lists this long non-coding RNA (1987 nucleotides) under Heterocephalus glaber (naked mole-rat). RNAcentral's name for it is "lncRNA (ENSHGLG00000043930.1)". The record is from RNAcentral. Lineage: Eukaryota; Metazoa; Chordata; Mammalia; Rodentia; Bathyergidae.